Zingiber officinale is the source of this 1427-nucleotide RNA transcript. It is a transcript of the gene named ER membrane protein complex subunit 10-like, with no coding region annotated. The record is from RefSeq and is a predicted model, not a curated record. NCBI's taxonomy places the organism in Eukaryota, Viridiplantae, Streptophyta, Magnoliopsida, Zingiberales, Zingiberaceae. The transcript has 10 exons.
ACUGACAAAUGCGUCGGCUGAGCUGGACACAAGAGAACGCUAAUUAGAUGGAAAUUGGCCAUGGCUCGAGCAAAGCUUGGCGCUCCGGAUGCAGAGCUCAGAGAUGGCGAAAACCAAUCGCCGGCUGCUGUCUUUGCGGUUCUUCUUAGCUUUCCUCUCGAUCUCGUUUGCCGCUGGGUUCCAGUCCGAUGAGUUGAUGCAGGAUGACGAGGAGUUCGGGCUCGAGGGCGGCCGACCAGCCGCCGAUCCCCAGCUCUACAUCCCUACCCAAACACCAGUCCGCCGAAGACCCGAACUUGAUCUGCUAGCUGGAUCCUCCGAUUCGAAGUCGAUCCAGUUCUCUCUGGAGCAUGAGUUGGGAACCCCUGGCUUCUCGCCUGCUGGAACUUUUACGGCUCGCCUCAAGUCCUGGAGCCAUGGAGGACAGACUCUAACUAAGCUUAGGUUCUCGAGAAACGCACUGACAGAGGAAGAAAAGAAGGCUUUCAAGAAACUAUUGAAAGAAGAUGGCUACUAUACGAUCAGAGUGCCAUCUAAUGUGUUAGAUCCUCCAGGAAGAGAUUUUGUUGUUUCAUCAGUCAGAGCUAGGUGCAUCCCUAGAGAGAUUUUGGACGAGCAUUUUAUCAUCCAUGCGGAUGGUGUGAAUAUUUUGGCAGUGAAUUAUGGGUCAGCUGAAGCUUGUCAAUAUCCGAGAUUACUCAGAUAUCCUGCAAAGUGGUCUUUCACAUCAUAUACAGUUAUGAAGACCAGCGAGCAAGCUCCAAGAACUCCUACAUUUGCUGAAAAAUUGCUUGCCGUGGAGGAGGGAGUUGGUGAAGGUGUAAAGCCUCCUGAAAAAACUUUCUGGGCUAAAUAUUGGAUGUAUUUAGUUCCUCUGGUCUUCAUUGUGCUGAAUGCCAUGACUCAAGCCAUGAACAUGCCACCGGAAGAGGGGGCUGCUGGGCAAGCUGCACAGCUGGCACCAAGUGCUAAUGUUAGAAGAAGAUGAAAAGAUUUAGGUCCACAAAUUAAUCCUGAGGAGAGCAUGGAAAAUUGCUUUGAAGUAUUCUUCUGCUCUUUACUUGAGAAAGACUUGAUGGGGGCAAAUUCUUUUAUCCCUUAUGUCUUUACCGAGAGGGGGAGGGAGAGGCAGUUAACAGCCUACUUCUCAUCGAUUAUGAAUGAGAAAGCUGGUGCAUCCCUCUUUCACAAUCUAAAGCGCAAGCAAUGCGGUUCUUGUUUGUAUGCUUCAAGCUUUUUGGUCCCGACGCCAAAAUCAUGAAACUGAUGAUUGAUCUGACAUCAAACAUUGUUGCCUCCUUUUCUACACGAUUCAAAUGCUCGAUUCUCAUUUAUAAAAUUAUUCGGUAGAAUUUCAUUCAGAUGUUCCACUUGCAAUCCACAAUGUAUUUGGUUUAGUCGCAUUAUUUACUCAGGUUGGUGUUGAA